GAAGCAGGACAAAUGAUCGCCGCCCUGCAAAAGGCAGGGGGGAGGAAAGUCCGGGCUCCUGAGGACAGGAUGCUGGGUAACGCCCAGUCCCGGUGACGGGAAGGAAAGUGCAACAGAAAGGAAACCGCCUUCAUGUGGCUGUUUGGCUGCAUGGAGGUAAGGGUGAAAGGGUGAGGUAAGAGCUCACCGGUUCGGCGGCGACGUCGGAGGCUAUGCAAACCCCAUCCGGAGCAAGACCAAAUAGGGGAACAAUGGAGGGUGGUCCGCCCGAGUUCCCGGGUAGGUCGCUUGACCUCGCGGGUAACUGCGAGACUAGAUGAAUGAUCAUUGUCCCGAUGGCGAGUGAUCGCUUCGGGAAACAGAACCCGGCUUAUGGCCUGCUUCGACA
Molecule: RNase P RNA, 388 nt
Filed under: Deltaproteobacteria bacterium
Lineage: Bacteria; Pseudomonadati; Myxococcota; Myxococcia
Description: RNase P RNA component class A
Rfam family: Bacterial RNase P class A
About the family: Ribonuclease P (RNase P) is a ubiquitous endoribonuclease, found in archaea, bacteria and eukarya as well as chloroplasts and mitochondria. Its best characterised activity is the generation of mature 5'-ends of tRNAs by cleaving the 5'-leader elements of precursor-tRNAs.
Source: RNAcentral